This is a non-coding RNA of Nylanderia fulva, 548 nucleotides long. The record is from RefSeq and is a predicted model, not a curated record. Lineage: Eukaryota; Metazoa; Arthropoda; Insecta; Hymenoptera; Formicidae.
AAACAGAAAGUACGCAGAUUAUGGAUACACUUCAAGAAUAUAUAUUUGGCACUUUAAAUUUUCGAGUAUGUAACUUCGUACCCGAAGAUAUCAAAUGUUUGUGUAUAGAUUAUGUUUUACAAAGUAAAUCUGGUGAAGAUAUCAUUGUAUAUACAAUACUUCAUAGCGUGGCUAGAAGACUUGGUCUACGUUGCGAUGCAGUGAUACUUAAUUUUCAACAAUGCUGUAUAUUUUGGAAACCAAAGCACGUCACGAAUAAUUUAAAAAUGCAAGAUGUUUUUACAUAAGAGACGAGAAUUUCCCGAACUGUCUUGAUGAUUUUCUACCAAUUUACAAGCGUUAUAAAAAAGAUUGCGUCACCACAAUAAGAACUGCACAGAUUACGCACACAAUAGAAAUUUUAGUUGAAAGGUUUAUAAUAGGACAUAAAAUAAACAAAUUGGACUUAGUCGAAGUGAAUUGUAUAAUGUAAAAACAUACGCGCACUAACAUAAUCGCAUAUUAGUAUAUAACAUGCACCAUUGUAAAAAUAAAGAGCUUUGUGAGAU